UCUUUGAUGGUCUAACGGUCAUGAUUUCCGCUUGUCAUUCAUCUGGCAAUGCGCGGGAGACCGGGGUUCGACUCCCCGUCAGAGAG
Sclerotinia sclerotiorum is the source of this 86-nucleotide transfer RNA. It matches the Rfam family "tRNA". Rfam says of the family: Transfer RNA (tRNA) molecules are approximately 80 nucleotides in length. Their secondary structure includes four short double-helical elements and three loops (D, anti-codon, and T loops). The record is from Rfam. NCBI's taxonomy places the organism in Eukaryota, Fungi, Ascomycota, Leotiomycetes, Helotiales, Sclerotiniaceae.